CCUACGGGCGGCUGCAGUGGGGAAUAUUGCACAAUGGGCGCAAGCCCGAUGCAGCCAUGCCGCGUGUGUGAAGAAGGCCUUCGGGUUGUAAAGCACUUUCAGCGGGGAGGAAGGCGUUAAGGUUAAUAACCUUGUCGAUUGACGUUACCCGCAGAAGAAGCACCGGCUAACUCCGUGCCAGCAGCCGCGGUAAUACGGAGGGUGCAAGCGUUAAUCGGAAUUACUGGGCGUAAAGCGCACGCAGGCGGUCUGUCAAGUCGGAUGUGAAAUCCCCGGGCUCAACCUGGGAACUGCAUUCGAAACUGGCAGGCUAGAGUCUUGUAGAGGGGGGUAGAAUUCCAGGUGUAGCGGUGAAAUGCGUAGAGAUCUGGAGGAAUACCGGUGGCGAAGGCGGCCCCCUGGACAAAGACUGACGCUCAGGUGCGAAAGCGUGGGGAGCAAACAGGAUUAGAUACCCCUGUAGUC
RNAcentral lists this ribosomal RNA (465 nucleotides) under uncultured Klebsiella sp. RNAcentral describes it as "bacterial SSU rRNA". It matches the Rfam family "Bacterial small subunit ribosomal RNA", at positions 338 to 795 of the family's 1533-position model. The record is from RNAcentral. Lineage: Bacteria; Pseudomonadati; Pseudomonadota; Gammaproteobacteria; Enterobacterales; Enterobacteriaceae.